This 119-nucleotide ribosomal RNA is filed under the name Xenopus tropicalis (tropical clawed frog). The record is from RNAcentral. Lineage: Eukaryota; Metazoa; Chordata; Amphibia; Anura; Pipidae.
GACUACGGCCAUACCACCCUGAAAGCGCCCGAUCUCGUCUGAUCUCGGAAGCUAAGCAGGAGAGGGCUGGUUAGUACCUGGAUUGGAGAACCGCCUGGGAAUACCAGGUGUUGUAGGCU